Cebus imitator (Panamanian white-faced capuchin) is the source of this 1167-nucleotide long non-coding RNA. RefSeq lists it as uncharacterized. The record is from RefSeq and is a predicted model, not a curated record. The transcript is spliced from 3 exons. NCBI's taxonomy places the organism in Eukaryota, Metazoa, Chordata, Mammalia, Primates, Cebidae.
GGCCUGGUGGGAAACACCAACGAAGCAGUCAGAUUUUAACAAGACUGGGGACCUGAAAGCCAGGCCGGAGCCUCUAACACGCGCCAUGGCUGGAGAAGUCACUGAGAUGAGAAAACUGAAGCUCAGAGAGGUGAAGUGACUUACCCAGGGACACACAGCAAGUGGGAGAUCCUCUCAAGAGAAGUUAAAGCCACACCCAGCUGUCGUCCUUUUCUGCUGAGUCCACAUCUGGUUCAAGGAAGCACUCACGCAUUUCUUGGCAUGCCUUAAGGUAAGUCAGUUACAUAAUGAUCAUCAUCGCUGUCAUCAUCCCCACCAUCAUGAUCAUUGUCAUCAUCAUCAUCUAAACCACAUUUGUCUAAUAGGCAAACAUGUUCUAAAAGUCCAGAUAGUCAAUAUCUUAGGACUCUCUGUCCAUUAGGUCUCUGUCACAACUACUCAACUCUGCCUUCAUAGAUCUGCUUAGUAACCACAGAUACUAAAUGAAUGAUUAAAUGAAUGAGUGUGGCUGUGCUCCAAUAAAACUUUAAUUCCAAAAAUAGGCAGCCAAUCAUAGGCUGUGGUUCUGCAGACCCUUGAUCUGAACAGACUUUGGAAAUAAUAUUUCCUGACUACAGGAGAAUCCAGUGAUCAAGCAGCCCUCCACCAAAGGACACAAACCUGCCUGUCAUAGACCCUCAGUCUGGGCAAAUGUUCACACUUAGGCAGAAGUAGAGAAACUAACAGUGAUCACCAUGUGCCCACACUCGGCUUCAGCAGCUAUCACCUUUCUGCCAUUCUUAAGACUGUCUUCAAAGAAAAAAAUUGAAUGGCAGUGGUGGGGGCUAAGAGACAGCCAAGUAGAAUGUAAGAUUAAAAGGAAAAAAGAGCAUCCAAGAAACAUCUUCCCUCUGUUGGAGAUGCUUGUAGCUGUCUCUUUAAGUCAUCUCAGAAGCUCUGAUGGUUUGAGGUCAGGGAGCUCCUAGAGCUUCAAACCUCAAGGCAGAGAUAUUUUCUGACACAGCUGCCCUGGCCUUGUCUGACUUCCUAGAAUAGCUGAGGAGAGCUGCCAGGAUGCGUCUUCCAUGAAAGUUAAAUGAUUUCUGUGAUUCUUGCUGAUGGUGGCAUCUUGAGGCCAUGGAAAUUUCCAGGGGCAGCUAUGAGUUGGGACACCAGACCCACCACCUG